AAGUUGUAACAAGGUUUCCGUAGGUGAACCUGCGGAAGGAUCAUUAACAAAUCCAAUACUUGUGGGGCGCUAGUCGUCCUGCAGAUAUUAAUCCGCUGGCCUCGCAAGGGGCUGGUUGAUAGAUAACAUAUAAAUGUGUGUAGUGUUGACAGUGUGUAUUUAAUAAUAAUUAUUGACAACUUUUAACAAUGGAUCUCUAGGCUCUUGCAUCGAUGAAGAACGCAGCAAAGUGCGAAAUGUGAUGCGAUCUGCACGAAUCUGUGAGUCAUCUAAUCUUUGAACGCGAAUGGCACUGUUACGCAAGUAGCAGUAUGUCUGUUUGAGAAUCGCAAACACGAUCAACUCUAGUUGGAGUUGGGAUUGGCCUUAUGUGCUGAAUGGUGCAUUUGGUUUGAAAGGAUCAAGUUGAUGGGCUUCCCAAUGAUGCUCAAUGUGUGCUAGCGAGACAGUCGUCCCGAUCUCACAUUAGUGGUAUUAUUGCAGAGUCCUAAUCACGGCUUGUCUAAUAACAUACAUAUCAAUUACGAUCUCAAAUCAGGCAAGAUUACCCGCUGAACUUAA
This 561-nucleotide ribosomal RNA is filed under the name uncultured fungus. RNAcentral's name for it is "eukaryotic LSU rRNA". The stretch from base 178 to 329 matches the Rfam family "5.8S ribosomal RNA". Lineage: Eukaryota; Fungi. The record is from RNAcentral.